AGGAUACAUGUUUGCCUCCCUGACUACAGCCAUCAGCCCUGGGGAUUUGCGCACUGUCAUAUGCUGGAGAGAGACUGCUGGGAUGAAAUAGAAGAAUGUUGGGAAUAUUGACUGGCUACUGACACCAACUUCCAAGGCUCGAGCCAUUUUUGCAAUGUGUGAGACUUCACACACUCGUUCCUCCUCUCUGCUCUUAAAAAAGAUUCUGGACUCACUACACAACUUACUGUGCUUCCUUGUCACCUGUCUUUGUCAGAUGCCCCAGCCACUCUGCUCCUUAUAACUUCCGCUGAUUUGUUGAAUGGAUAUGAGCAGCACUUAUCCACUCUCCUGUGGCUGAAUUACCACGGAAUCAAGAAAUUUAAGAGACAAACUGUUGACAUCAGUUGAGGUUUUCUUAACUGGACCAUCAAGCUGAAACCAGGAGAGCCACAAAGAAAAGUCUAUUCUCACCAUCCUGCCUAACGUUCCUCACACUAGCCAGAGAUAGACCAUGAUUUUACCAUUCCCCACCCCUCCCAUUUGCCCUAAUACCCACGGCUAUGACUGCUCUCUUGGUUAGGCAUGGUUUGUGCCAGAGCCGACUUUUCCCGUUUCUGUGAAACUGUCAUCAACCACGAAGAGUAUCUCUUUGAAAUUUUUUCCUAUCCCAGCUUACCCUUUCAGUGGUAAUUUCUUGUGCUACUUUCUAAAAACUACGAUGACGUCUGUUCCUAUCCUCCACUGAACUGUGAGCUCCAUGGAGCAGGAAAUGUGAACAUUUGGCUCUCUGGUGCUCUGGUGCAAAGAGCUGUGCUCAAAAACCUGGAAGGUGUUCAACAGUAUUGGUCAAAGGAGUAAACAGGAGUGGGAAGUCACUUUAGAAAUGGCACAAAACCCUUCUUCACUAUGAAGACAGCCAAGAACAUACAGAUAGAAUACACAGAAUCCAUGAGGGGAAAGAUAGGAUUCGCCUGCAGGACAGAGGUACUUCGACGGGUAGGUGGGAGCAAACUUGAACUUCUGGACCGAGGAGCAAGUGAGACAAGCUCUUGAUGUGGAGCUCUCUCCUGCCUUGCUCAGUCUAAUUGUGCUCUUGAAAUUUCAAAAAGAAACUCAGGCAGAGAAACACAUGGAUCUCUUUUCAUAAAUAUGUUCAUGGCUCCAAUCAGAAAUGCCAGCCUCCGAAGAACUGACAGAAACAGUUGAUGUAUACACACACACACACACACACACACACACACACACACACACACACACACGUUUAAGGUUUCAAUGUAUACAUUAUAUAUGCUACUGUGUCACAUAGGAUGUUCCAUGCAAAUGCAUGUGUGUUGAACACACUCCCCAUAUCUCCCUAUACUACCAUUUCCUUUAUGCCUCUCCCUGAGUCAUCUUUGUUUCACUAGGAAGUUUGCCUUCCAAUUUUAUGUGACAUCAUAUACUUGACUUUAUGUAUCUCUAUAAAAUCUAGGAACCAUGAAUGACAGAAAAUAUGACAUUUGUGUUUCUGAGAUGAACUUAAUUCACCUGAUAUGAUUAACUCUAGUUAUAUCCAUUUCUCUCUCAACAAAUGACACAAUUUCAUUUUUUCUUUAAAUCUGAAAAUUCCCAUGGUGCAUAUAUAGCAGAUUUUCUCUAUCCACUCCUUGGUUGUUGGACACAUAGGCUGAGUGAGGGACAGCUGCAUUUUUAAGGGAAAUGGAUUAUUGUCUCUAAAUAUCUGUAAAGCUUCAUUUCAAGGGAUCCGGUUUGUGUUACAAUGGCUUUGAGGAAUCUUUUGACACAGCCCAUGACUGGACCAACAAUAUUUGGGUUUUCCUCCUUUCUAACCAACAGGAACUUUUGUAAACGUACAUAAAUGAAACCACUAACACUUGCAAAGGAUGAUCACCACACAGCCUGCAGUCUACACACAGCCCUGGGAUAAAGACCCACAGAGACCAGUCUAUUAGCACCAUGACACAGGCUACUUAGAGGACUCUAUGAAAAGGCCACUGGGAGCACAUCAACAAUAGGAGCACAAUGGUCAGAGCUUCGCAUAGUCACAACCACAGCAGACAUUGCCUCAUCUCUGUAAAACUGCUUUGUUAUGAAAGAUGGCUUUUACUGAUGACAGGUCCAUGGGAGAGUUUACUCAUGGAUGAGGGACAUAAGGAUGCACCAUUAGCCUUUGGAAGAUAUAUGGAUGGCAAAUUGUACUAAGAACUAAAAGAGAGGCUUGCAGCUUGGCUAAUAGAUCUGAGUUUAUCCUGUGACGUAGGGGUGAGGGGGAACAGACAGAGUAUUUUCGUGACAAAUGGCUUUGCUGAUAUUGAGGCCAUGGAAAGGAUUUGCGAAAGCAAUGGCACGGGGAGUCACUUUGCUUCAUUGACUGAAGUCUUUUCUAACUUACUGUUUAGGGAGGAGAAUCUGCAAUGUGCACUCGGGAGUCCUCCCCUGAGAGCUAUUUUAUAUACCAUGCUCCCUGCAGUAAGCACAGGGCCUCCAGUUUGCCAGAGGGCAAGAAAGCCUCUGUUUUGUCAGAGAUCCAGGUCUCUUAGGAGCCCAUCUACAUGAAGACUACCAGUGCAAAGCCACGUGGAUUAGAGUCCAGGUUUGCAGGGCACCUGCUGCACUUCAAGUAUUCACUGCCCCCUGCUGGAGACUCUGAGGCGUUCUUUUAAUUCAGACUUUAAUGAAGUCACUGUGCUUCCUAUCUGAAGGAAAUUCAGCCCCUCUUCUUCGCAGCAACUUUCCUUCCUUAUAUUGACUGAAAAUUGGUAAUUACUGGAAAACACGAGAAUGAAGGGGAGACACGCUCUUCUGCCUAAUGUGUUCUUGUGGAAGCCCCCUGAAACAGAGGAUGCACACAGAAGGACUGCUUCUUAUGCUGACAGCCGUGAGCUAACGCCACCAGCAUGAUACACAUCUCCAAACAUACUUUGGAAAGGUCAGGCAGAUCACAACCUCACAAAAGAAGGUGCUGACUUAAGGGAGGCCACCCAGACAGCGCUACCUCCCCAAACCUCCUGUCAGACCAGACAGCUCCACUUGCAAAUUAGGGAACUGUAGAUCCAGGUAUCUUAUAAGAUAGUGUACUUAGCAAGAAAAAUAAAAUAAAACA
Mastomys coucha (southern multimammate mouse) is the source of this 3085-nucleotide long non-coding RNA. RefSeq lists it as uncharacterized. Lineage: Eukaryota; Metazoa; Chordata; Mammalia; Rodentia; Muridae. The record is from RefSeq and is a predicted model, not a curated record. The transcript has 4 exons.